This 300-nucleotide small RNA is filed under the name Mycobacterium tuberculosis H37Rv. Its description in RNAcentral is "Putative small regulatory RNA". RNAcentral also lists the same sequence under 3 other names. The record is from RNAcentral. Lineage: Bacteria; Bacillati; Actinomycetota; Actinomycetes; Mycobacteriales; Mycobacteriaceae.
CGCCGACACCGAGGACAUCUUCGCCCAGGAGUAGGCGGCUCAACGAGCCUGCACGGGCGUUCCGUCGACCAUCGCCUGCACGCGUUCACGACACGACAUGGCACAACCGGGAAUCUUUUGGAGAAACGCUUGGAGGGUCGAAGUAAAGAGUAUGUUUUCGAGAGAGUCAACACCAGUCAUGCUGCCGGGGAAAACUCAGGUGGGUGAUCGUCUGCCUGAUCGGUCCUCGUAGGAGUUCGCUGGGGCCUCGAAUGUUAGCAAUGGGCAAUACUGUGAGCGAUACCGGAGUUCAGUCGAGAA